RNAcentral lists this ribosomal RNA (484 nucleotides) under uncultured bacterium. RNAcentral's name for it is "partial 16S ribosomal RNA". It matches the Rfam family "Bacterial small subunit ribosomal RNA", at positions 29 to 507 of the family's 1533-position model. The record is from RNAcentral.
AUUGAACGCUGGCGGCAUGCUUUACACAUGCAAGUCGAACGGCAGCGCGGGCUUCGGCCUGGCGGCGAGUGGCGAACGGGUGAGUAAUGCAUCGGAACGUGCCCAGUAGUGGGGGAUAGCCCGGCGAAAGCCGGAUUAAUACCGCAUACGACCUGAGGGUGAAAGCGGGGGACCGAAAGGCCUCGCGCUAUUGGAGCGGCCGAUGGCGGAUUAGCUAGUUGGUGGGGUAAAGGCUUACCAAGGCGACGAUCCGUAGCUAGUCUGAGAGGACGACCAGCCACACUGGGACUGAGACACGGCCCAGACUCCUACGGGAGGCAGCAGUGGGGAAUUUUGGACAAUGGGGGCAACCCUGAUCCAGCCAUGCCGCGUGCGGGAAGAAGGCCUUCGGGUUGUAAACCGCUUUUGUUCGGGAAGAAAUCCUCUGGGCUAAUACCCCGGGGGGAUGACGGUACCGGAAGAAUAAGCACCGGCUAACUACGUG